GGAAGUAAAAGUCGUAGCAAGGUCUCCGUUGGUGAACCAGCGGAGGGAUCAUUAUCGAGUUUAUAACUCCCAAACCCUAUGUGAACUUACCACUUGUUGCUUCGGCGCGCGCUUCGGUGCCGCCGAGGACACUUAAACUCUUUGUUUUUAUAAGCAUUUCUGAGUGGCCGAAAGGCAAAAUACAAAUGAAUCAAAACUUUCAACAACGGAUCUCUUGGUUCUG
RNAcentral lists this unclassified non-coding RNA (223 nucleotides) under plant metagenome. Its description in RNAcentral is "partial contains small subunit ribosomal RNA, internal transcribed spacer 1, and 5.8S ribosomal RNA". The stretch from base 1 to 54 matches the Rfam family "Eukaryotic small subunit ribosomal RNA", at positions 1778 to 1831 of the family's 1831-position model. The record is from RNAcentral.